UGGAGUAUAGCCAAGUGGAAAGGCAUCGGUUUUUGGUACCGACAUUCAAAGGUUCGAAUCCUUUUACUCCAG
RNAcentral lists this transfer RNA (72 nucleotides) under Zygnema circumcarinatum. Its description in RNAcentral is "tRNA-Gln". It matches the Rfam family "tRNA". From Rfam's summary of the family: Transfer RNA (tRNA) molecules are approximately 80 nucleotides in length. Their secondary structure includes four short double-helical elements and three loops (D, anti-codon, and T loops). The record is from RNAcentral. Lineage: Eukaryota; Viridiplantae; Streptophyta; Zygnematophyceae; Zygnematales; Zygnemataceae.